AUUGAACGCUGGCGGCAGGCUUAACACAUGCAAGUCGAACGAGUGGCGGACGGGUGAGUAAUGCUUGGGAAUCUAGCCUAUGGAGGGGGAUAACUACGGGAAACUGUAGCUAAUACCGCGUACCAUAGGAUGAGCCCAAGUGGGAUUAGGUAGUUGGUGAGGUAAAGGCUCACCAAGCCGACGAUCUCUAGCUGGUCUGAGAGGAUGACAAGCCACGCUGGGACUGAGACACGGCCCAGACUCCUACGGGAGGCAGCGGUGGGGAAUAUUGCGCAAUGGGGGAAACCUGACGAAGCCAUGCCGCGUGAAUGAAGAAGGCCUUCGGGUUGUAAAGUUCUUUCGGUAGCGAGGCGUUAACUACAGAAGAGGCACCGGCUAACUCCGUGCCAGCCGCCGCGGUAAUUC
RNAcentral lists this ribosomal RNA (405 nucleotides) under uncultured bacterium. RNAcentral describes it as "partial 16S ribosomal RNA". It matches the Rfam family "Bacterial small subunit ribosomal RNA", at positions 30 to 526 of the family's 1533-position model. The record is from RNAcentral.